RNAcentral lists this transfer-messenger RNA (242 nucleotides) under Gammaproteobacteria bacterium. Its description in RNAcentral is "partial transfer-messenger RNA". It matches the Rfam family "transfer-messenger RNA", at positions 105 to 374 of the family's 374-position model. From Rfam's summary of the family: Bacterial tmRNA, also known as 10Sa RNA or SsrA, is named for its dual tRNA and mRNA-like properties. Its role is to liberate the mRNA from a stalled ribosome. The record is from RNAcentral. Lineage: Bacteria; Pseudomonadati; Pseudomonadota; Gammaproteobacteria.
CUCUAUGCUGCCUCCCUCAUUGGUCUGCCGGUGAUUCCGAUUGAAGGUCGUGGCUCAAUCGUCGUAUAGAACGGGAUCGCAGCAAUACGCGCCUGGCGUUGCGCUGUUAAAUCCUUCCAGGCUCGCCCUGCUCGCCCUGCCCGUCGGGUAGAACAAGGGCUAACUCAAUAGACGACGCUAAGCAUGUAGAUCUUCAGGCCGCGAACUGACGGACGGGAGUUCAACUCUCCCCGCCUCCACCA